GAUGAAGAACGCAGCGAAAUGCGAUAAGUAGUGUGAAUUUCAGAAUUCAGUGAAUCAUCGAAUCUUUGAACGCACAUUGCGCCCCUUGGUAUCCCGAGGGGCAUGCCUGUUCGAGCGUCAUUUCACCACUCAAGCCUGGCUUGGUGUUGGGCGACGUCCCCUUUAGGGACGCGCCUCGAAACGCUCGGCGGCGUGGCACCGGCUUUAAGCGUAGCAGAAUCUUUCGCUUUGGAAGUCGGGGCCCCGCCUGCCGGAAUACCUACUCGUAAGGUUGACCUCGGAUCAGGCAGGGAUACCCGCUGAACUAAGCAUAUCAAUAAGCGGAGGA
Molecule: unclassified non-coding RNA, 328 nt
Filed under: soil metagenome
Description: partial contains 5.8S ribosomal RNA, internal transcribed spacer 2, and large subunit ribosomal RNA
Rfam family: 5.8S ribosomal RNA (bases 1-120)
Source: RNAcentral